GCCGCCUUAGCUCAGUAGGUUAGAGCGCCUGAUUGUGGAUCAGGAGGUCCCCAGUUCAAGCCUGGGAGGUGGUACCA
RNAcentral lists this transfer RNA (77 nucleotides) under Roseobacter ponti. RNAcentral describes it as "tRNA-His". It matches the Rfam family "tRNA". From Rfam's summary of the family: Transfer RNA (tRNA) molecules are approximately 80 nucleotides in length. The record is from RNAcentral. Lineage: Bacteria; Pseudomonadati; Pseudomonadota; Alphaproteobacteria; Rhodobacterales; Roseobacteraceae. RNAcentral also lists the same sequence under 1 other name.